RNAcentral lists this ribosomal RNA (301 nucleotides) under uncultured bacterium. Its description in RNAcentral is "partial 16S ribosomal RNA". It matches the Rfam family "Bacterial small subunit ribosomal RNA", at positions 509 to 807 of the family's 1533-position model. The record is from RNAcentral.
CAGUCGCCGCGGGAAAACGAAGGGUGCAAGCGUUACUCGGAAUUACUGGGCGUAAAGCGUGCGUAGGCGGCUUCUUAAGUCGGAUGUGAAAUCCCUGAGCUUAACUUAGGAAUUGCAUUCGAUACUGGGAAGCUAGAGUAUGGGAGAGGAUGGUAGAAUUCCAGGUGUAGCGGUGAAAUGCGUAGAGAUCUGGAAAAAUACCGAUGGCGAAGGCAGCCAUCUGGCCUAAUACUGACGCUGAGGUACGAAAGCAUGGGGAGCAAACAGGAUUAGAUACCCGAGUAGUCCCUGUCUCUUAUAC